GACGAACGCUGGCGGCGUGCCUAAUACAUGCAAGUAGAACGCUGAAGGAGGAGCUUGCUUCUCUGGAUGAGUUGCGAACGGGUGAGUAACGCGUAGGUAACCUGCCUGGUAGCGGGGGAUAACUAUUGGAAACGAUAGCUAAUACCGCAUAAGAGUAGAUGUUGCAUGACAUUUGCUUAAAAGGUGCAAUUGCAUCACUACCAGAUGGACCUGCGUUGUAUUAGCUAGUUGGUGGGGUAACGGCUUACCAAGGCGACGAUACAUAGCCGACCUGAGAGGGUGAGCGGCCACACGGGGCCGGAGACCCGCCCCAGCUCCCUACGGGAGGCAGAAGUAGGGAUCCUUGGGAAAGGGAGGGAAGUCUGACCGAGAACCGCGGCGUGAGGAAAGAGGGUUUUCGGAUAGUAAAGCUCUGUUGAAAGAGAAGAACGAGUGUGAGAGGGAAAAUUUCCCACUGGGACGUUUUCUUACAAGAAAGGGACGGCUAACUACGUC
Molecule: ribosomal RNA, 495 nt
Filed under: uncultured bacterium
Lineage: Bacteria
Description: partial 16S ribosomal RNA
Rfam family: Bacterial small subunit ribosomal RNA
Source: RNAcentral